Molecule: long non-coding RNA, 521 nt
Organism: Physeter macrocephalus (sperm whale)
Lineage: Eukaryota; Metazoa; Chordata; Mammalia; Artiodactyla; Physeteridae
Exons: 4
Source: RefSeq, a predicted model, not a curated record
CAACCUGUCCUUUUCGGACGCAUGUACCACAGAAGGUAUCACAGAGUCCACUGACGACUUGGCUGAGGCAAAGGACAGCUUCUACCACGCCGAUCCCCAGCAGGAUGGAGAACAAGACCACGUUCCAGAGGACGAUGUGCUCAGGCUCUUGGCAGUUAGCCCAGGACACAACACAGGUCCUGGACAUUGUACGUGAGCCCUCAUGGCCUGCUCCUGACCUGCCACCAGAGCCUCACCUCUCCUCCAUCGAGACCUCUUGACACACCACCUUAUGGGCCCCCAGGAGACACCCGGGACCUUCCUGCCUCUGGGCUUUUGAAUAUGCCCUUCACCCUUUGCCAUCAGAUAAACUCCUAUUCACCUGCAAAGGCUGAGUCACGUGGCUUGCGGAAUCUUAGUUCCCCGACCAGGGAUCAAACCCAUGGCCCCUGCAGUGGAAGUGUGGAGUCCUAACCACUGGACCACCAGGGAAUUCCCAAGCAGACUGCCUAGCAAAGUGCUGGAUCCACACCUAUCUCUUG